RNAcentral lists this long non-coding RNA (279 nucleotides) under Mytilus galloprovincialis (Mediterranean mussel). Lineage: Eukaryota; Metazoa; Mollusca; Bivalvia; Mytilida; Mytilidae. The record is from RNAcentral.
CUUUCAAGGUCCUGUAUGAAAGAUAGUAAUUGUGUCUCACAGAGCGUUUUGAUCGGAAACCAGGUUGUAAAUCAUAUAAAAUAUUGUUUUUUUCGAGUUGUUCCAUUACUUGACUAGCUAAGAUAUGUUCCAUAUUUUUGCAAAGUAUACAUGUUAGUGAAAUUGGCCUGUAAUUUAUGGCAUUGUUUUUGUCGCCUUUUUUGAAUGCAGGACAGACAUUUGCAUGUUUCCAGUCUGUAGGUAUUUUAUGAGUGUUAAUUGACUUUUGAAAGAUGAGUG